This 155-nucleotide unclassified non-coding RNA is filed under the name uncultured Ascomycota. RNAcentral describes it as "sequence contains ITS2". The record is from RNAcentral. Lineage: Eukaryota; Fungi; Ascomycota.
GUACCCUCAAGCUUUGCUUGGUGAUGGGUGUUUGUCCUGUUCUCGCAACUGGACUCGCCUUAAAGUUAUUGGCAGCCGGCAUAUAGGCCUUUGGAGCGCAGCACAAUUUGCGAUCUAAGCCCUUAUUCUAGCAUCCAUUAAGCCAUUCUUAUCAC